This 82-nucleotide transfer RNA is filed under the name Bacteroidota bacterium. RNAcentral's name for it is "tRNA-Tyr". It matches the Rfam family "tRNA". From Rfam's summary of the family: Transfer RNA (tRNA) molecules are approximately 80 nucleotides in length. Their secondary structure includes four short double-helical elements and three loops (D, anti-codon, and T loops). The record is from RNAcentral. RNAcentral also lists the same sequence under 6 other names. Lineage: Bacteria; Pseudomonadati; Bacteroidota.
GGGGAGAUUCCAGAGCGGUCAAAUGGGGCAGACUGUAAAUCUGUUGGCUAAGCCUUCGGAGGUUCGAAUCCUCCUCUCCCCA